UACGGAGGGUGCAAGCGUUGUUCGGAAUUAUUGGGCGUAAAGCGCGCGCAGGCGGCUGCGCAAGUCUGAUGUGAAAGCCCCGGGCUCAACCUGGGAAGUGCAUCGGAAACUGCGUAGCUUGAGUACGGGAGAGGGAAGCGGAAUUCCGAGUGUAGGGGUGAAAUCCGUAGAUAUUCGGAAGAACACCAGUGGCGAAGGCGGCUUCCUGGACCGAUACUGACGCUGAGGCGCGAAAGCGUGGGGAGCAAACAGGAUUAGAUACCCUGGUAGUCCACGCCGUAAACGAUGGGUACUAGGUGUCGCGGGUAUUGACCCCUGCGGUGCCGAAGCUAACGCAUUAAGUACCCCGCCUGGGGAGUACGGCCGCAAGGCUAAA
This 376-nucleotide ribosomal RNA is filed under the name uncultured bacterium. RNAcentral's name for it is "bacterial SSU rRNA". It matches the Rfam family "Bacterial small subunit ribosomal RNA", at positions 524 to 898 of the family's 1533-position model. The record is from RNAcentral.